CCCGCAAUGUUGUUACUGUCGGUUCAUUUUAUGCAAUUACAGUAGAGUCUUCUCCUGAUUAAGGCUUCUCCUUAAUCUCUCCUCAUUAUCCAACAUAUUCACUUAUCCAACGUUCUGCCGGCCCGUUUAUGUUGGAUAAGUGAGACUCUACUGUAUAUCUUUCCUAGCUGUGCCCUGCCACGCAUUGCUGUGGCCAAUUGGAAUUGCAUUGAGUAGACUUGCUGCUUGUAAGCCUGGGGGCUUUAUACUGUAUAUCUUUGUUUGUAGUCAAUUUGUUAGUAGCCAAUUUUUUUGUAGUCAGUGUUUUCAAUACAUUGUGAUGUUUUGGUGCUAAAUUCGUAAAUACAGUAAUUACAGUAGAGUCUCACUUAUCCAACACUCGCUUAUCCAACGUUCUGGAUUAUCCAACGCAUUUUUGUAGUCAAUGUUUUCAAUACAUCGUGAUAUUUUGGUGCUAAAUUCGUAAAUACAGUAAUUACAACAUAACAUUACUGCGUAUUGAACUACUUUUUCUGUCAAAUUUGUUGUAUAACAUGAUGUUUUGGUGCUUAAUUUGUAAAAUCAUAACCUCAUUUGAUAAUAGGCUUUUUCUUAAUCUCUCCUUAUUAUCCAACAUAUUCGCUUAUCCAACGUUCUGCCAGCCCGUUUAUGUUGGAUAAGUGAGACUCUACUGUAUAUAGAUAUAUAUGUUUCCUGACAAACCCAAAAGGAAAGACCAUUGUUGCGGAGGUUAAAAUCUAAUUUAUUUAACUACAAAGGUGAAACUAAUAGCUUUUGUGUAUCUGGGAAACAAACAAAACAAGUGACAAUUUUUUUUGUGGUGUUUUCAACGCAAAGAAAGUUUGACAUUUCAGAAAACCAGAGAAAACCAGGGCCUCCUUUAAGCAACUACAAAACCCAUUUGAACUCCAUCGCCUUCUAGUCCGGUCGAGGCUUCGUUUUGGAAUAUAUCUGAGAAGAUAGGAAUAGAGGUGAGCAGUCGUAAUGUUUGCCUUGUUUGACGUCUAGGAAACGGUGGGAGAAAAGAAGUCCCAAAACUCCCAAGAAAAGAAGUCUGAAAAUCCCUUGGGAUCGGAGGUUCAGCACUGAGAAGAUGGGAUGAAGGGUUGUUGGCUUCCUAGUUGGACAAAGUUAUUUUCUAUGACACGGCGGAGGAUAAGAAUUCCCAGCAUCCCAACAUGAGAAGUCCCAGAAUCCCCUGGGAUUGGAGGUCUGGCACUCUAUUAAUCUAUUAAUCAUGAUGCAUCUUGUCCUUCCCAGUUGGGAUCCAGUGAAAGCAAACUGCAGCGUCUCCUAAUUUUUGGAAUAACGGAAGAGAAAAAGUUCCGAAAUCUCCGAAUUAGGAGUCCCAGAAUCCCCAAAUGAGGAGUCCCAGAAUCCUUAGGGAUUGGCGAGUCAGCACUCGACCCGUGGAGAAGAUCGGAUAAAUCGGUUGCAUACAUCAAAAACAAACUGGUGGCUCGUAAUUCUCAAACUGGUGGAAGAUGUCCCAGAAUCCCUAGAGAAGAAAUCCCAGGGAUUGGAGAGCCAUGACUUAAUUGAAGAUGGGAUAAACAGGAGUCUCGCAAUUCUCAAAACAGUGAAAGAUCUGAAGUCCCAGAAAACCCCGGGAUC
Molecule: long non-coding RNA, 1614 nt
Filed under: Anolis carolinensis (green anole)
Lineage: Eukaryota; Metazoa; Chordata; Lepidosauria; Squamata; Anolidae
Description: lncRNA (ENSACAG00000042530.1)
Source: RNAcentral